UCCAUUAAAAAAAGUUGAUUUUUUUCACAUCGCAUCAAUUUUUCAUCAGAGCCAACUCUCAACAUCUACUACGUUUGACUCAUUCAGAUCAAUCAAUAAUUGCUAGUUCAGCCGAACAGAAACUAUAAUGAGUAUAGUAAAUCACUCGAUUGUUUUCAAUUUUUCAGUCAAUAGACGAAACUAUGCGGAAAAAACAGUUGGUACAUUACUAGAAGGUCGUCCGCUUAGAAAGCAUGAAGUAAGGUUAGUCCUCAUUUUUUAUUUGAUGUUUUUUAAUGAGGAAUACACAGAUAAUUGGUGACGCAGCUACGCCAUUGGCUGGUGGUUUACUAUAGGAAAACCACAAUUCCGGUUGAAAGUACAAGAGGAUAAAAAAUGCGGAUCCACAGUGUGCUCAGUGUACCAUAAAUAAUUGGAAAAGAGGAAAUUUUAGUGAUUUCAUUUAUAUUGUCGAGAAUUGGUGAAAUCGAUCUGGGAAAAAAAUUCGAAGAACCUGAUAAAUCAGAUGCUAAAAAUUUAUUCAAUGGAUGGCACUAAAAUAAAUUGUUUCAGAGAAAAAUUGUACCUUGAAUAUGCUAGGAAUAGUUCUUUGGAACAGAUAACUGUUUCGUGAGUUACCUACAUUAGAUCAACAGAAAGUCAACAGAUGUCACCUCAAUGUACGAAACACUGAAACUAUGCGAUAUUCAUCAAUAUCAUCAUCAUUAUCGAGAGUUUAUAUGUUGAAAUCAACUGUAAUAAACGGUGAUCAAUUUCUGGUAAGGAUUCCAACGAUUCGGAAGCUCUCUAUUUCUGUUAGAGUUUUGGCAGAGGUAGAGAUCCUCGGAUAUCGGUGGAACUCCAUGCCAGACAUCAGCCACCCUUUUUACAGUUUCUAUAGAAGCCAAAAAAAAAUUAUUUCAAAAUGUGAAUAUUUCAGCAAGGGAUUGAAAAUAAUAAGUAUGAAAUGUCAUUUUUUUUAAAAUCUUUUGUUGGAAAACCCUUUAUUAUGAAGAACAAUUUCAAAACAUUUCACAUCAUAUCUGACCGGAUUGGAUUUGAUACUUGAAUUCUAUGAUUGAAUUUAUUGGU
This is a long non-coding RNA of Harmonia axyridis, 1071 nucleotides long. RefSeq lists it as uncharacterized. The record is from RefSeq and is a predicted model, not a curated record. The transcript is spliced from 2 exons. Lineage: Eukaryota; Metazoa; Arthropoda; Insecta; Coleoptera; Coccinellidae.